GGAUCGCCCUUCCUACGGGAGGCAGCAGUGGGGAAUAUUGGACAAUGGGCGCAAGCCUGAUCCAGCCAUGCCGCGUGUGUGAAGAAGGCCUUCGGGUUGUACAGCACUUUUGUUGGGGAAGAAAAGCACUGGGUUAAUACCCUGGUGUCAUGACGGUACCCAAAGAAUAAGCACCGGCUAACUUCGUGCCAGCAGCCGCGGUAAUAAGGGCGAUCCC
This 217-nucleotide ribosomal RNA is filed under the name uncultured bacterium. RNAcentral describes it as "partial 16S ribosomal RNA". It matches the Rfam family "Bacterial small subunit ribosomal RNA", at positions 327 to 535 of the family's 1533-position model. The record is from RNAcentral.